GCCACAUCUCUCUCCCUUGGAUUUUUUUCAUGCACACCUCUGAAUUUAUGCAUCUUAAUCUGAUUAAUAUAAGCCCCUUGUUUCUGCCUCAUAUGAUCCCAUGUUUAAAUAGGAGCAGAUAGGGUUUUUGUUUAAAGAGAUAAGAGUCCAACUAUCCUAGGACUCUUGAUUUAUGCCGCCCAUCCUUUUCCUUUUUGUGCCACUUUGUUACAUGGUAACAUCAUGAGAUAGGAAGAGCACAUAAUGAAGUUUUUGGUGUGAAAAGGUUGGCACAAAAACAAGUGGGUG
This 288-nucleotide long non-coding RNA is filed under the name Elaeis guineensis (African oil palm). Its description in RNAcentral is "long non-coding RNA (EGUI_LNC042455)". The record is from RNAcentral. Lineage: Eukaryota; Viridiplantae; Streptophyta; Magnoliopsida; Arecales; Arecaceae.